Molecule: long non-coding RNA, 927 nt
Organism: Mandrillus leucophaeus (drill)
Lineage: Eukaryota; Metazoa; Chordata; Mammalia; Primates; Cercopithecidae
Exons: 6
Source: RefSeq, a predicted model, not a curated record
UUUUUUGUAUUUUUUAGUAGAGACGGGAUUUCACCAUGUUAGCCAGGAUGGUCUCGAUCUCCUGACCUCGUGAUCCGCCUGUCUCGGCCUCCCAAAGUGCUGGGAUUACAGGCUUGAGCCACCGCACCCGGUCGGCCCCAAGCGCUUCUUAUUGGCUAAUGUGGAGAGAACCUGGACACCCAUUGGCUGAAAUCUCCGUCUAAUUGAGGCUGACUGAGAGCUUCCCUUCCUACUGUGUUGCCUGGAAGCGAACUGUCCGCCUAGUAACAUCUGAUCGCGUUUCCAAUUGGUCACCGUUUACGGAAGCCCGCCCUCCCUUUUCCGGAAGCCCGGCGGACGCUGGGGCUGCAGGUGGAGUACAGGUGCACAGUGGGAAGUGUGAUUGCGCAGAGUUGGGCUGUUCGGCCAAGCGCCCGCCGGACAUGGGACGCUGGAAGGUCAGCGGCGUGAAGUCCUCGCCUUCAGCGUCCGCGGCUGGGAAAUUGGCUGUCGCCACGGCGGGAACUAGGACUCUGGCUGCGUCCCGGCCCUUCCUCAUCAGUCCACCGGACUCUGGGGCGCGCGCACUGGCGCGGAUGUAGUUUCCUCACCUCUGACCCGUAUUGUCUUGAGAUUAAAGGAAUCAGGAGCUUCUUUUGCUAUUGUUGUUUUGGAUGCAUUGGAAGGUCCAGAUUUUGAAGAAAUCUCUCUAGAGGUUGAACAGAGCUGCUCCUGGAUCCCGCAGCAGCGAGGAGACCUGAAGACCAGAGGAAACACAGCAAAUGGAGUCUUGCUCUGUUGCCCAGUCUGGAGUGUAGUGUGGCAAUCUUGGCUCACUGAAAGCUCUGCCUCCCGGGUUCACGCCAUUCUCCCCCCUCAGCCCCCGGAGUAGCUGGGACUACAGGCUCCCGCCACCACGCCCGGCUAAUUUUGUUUUUGCAUUCUUAG